UGGGGUUGUAGCUCAGUGGUAGAGUAUCUGCCCAGCAUGCCAGAAGGCCCUGGGUUUGAUUCCCAGCACUGUAA
This 74-nucleotide transfer RNA is filed under the name Marmota monax (woodchuck). Its description in RNAcentral is "tRNA.Ala". The stretch from base 7 to 68 matches the Rfam family "tRNA", at positions 6 to 65 of the family's 71-position model. Rfam says of the family: Transfer RNA (tRNA) molecules are approximately 80 nucleotides in length. The record is from RNAcentral. Lineage: Eukaryota; Metazoa; Chordata; Mammalia; Rodentia; Sciuridae.